Molecule: non-coding RNA, 1184 nt
Organism: Aegilops tauschii subsp. strangulata
Lineage: Eukaryota; Viridiplantae; Streptophyta; Magnoliopsida; Poales; Poaceae
Source: RefSeq, a predicted model, not a curated record
UUCACCGUCACAAUACGCUUUCUUCUCAUGUCAUAAUACGUUUUUACGAUUUGUAAAGACAAACUCAUAAUAUAAACGAGGUGGUACUAAUUUUGGGGUCCGUUGGUACGUCACGUGUGUUUCUUCGUGCGUUGAACGGCUGGGCCUUCGUCCCGCCUGGCCCUUUCCGCGAAAAAUACGUGCCCGAUCCGGACUUCACGUUUCGUUCGUGGGCUGGGCUGACUCACGGUCACGGAGGAAGCAGUUCUGUAAAAAGAAAUACAGCAGCACGGGCUCUCCUCACCUCAAAAAAAAAAAAGCACGGGCUCUCCUCCUCGAUGCCUACGACAACGGCGCGCCGGCGCCACCACCUCGCGCGGCCGCGCGGCCGGUAUUCUUCCCCGGCCGUAUCCCGAGCCACCACGCGCCUCCUCCCCUGCCGCUCCACCGCCAUGCCGGGACGGCGUACUGGGCCUUGCCGGACGCCGAGGACCAGCGGGUCAAUGCCGCCGCCCACUCCGGCCUCCACCACACCAGCCCGAACCAUUGCUCAUGGGCGCGCGGGGAUGGAGAACCCCGACGGCCACGCGGAAGCUGACGCGGGGGCAGGUCUGGGCAGCGACCCGUCCAGGCUCCCCCACCGUCGCCCUUGGACGUCGUGGAGGCGGGUCUGGGCAGCGACCCGGCCGAGGUUCUCCCACCGCCACCCCCGCAUCUCCCGGGGGGCGCCCCUUACGACAGGGCGCAGACAGCCAGCGGAUCCGCGUACGGGACCUCCGGCGAGGCAACGGGCUACCAGGCCGCGGGGGCCACGGAGGACGGCGCCGCCGCCGUCGAGAUGGCCGAUCCCAUGGUUCCCUAGCAGUCGUAUGAGGAUGUGGAAGAGGCUAGGUUAAUUAUGGGAUGUUGUCACCUUGGAUUGCUUAGACGUCGAUGCUUGGACCGCACUUAUUGAAGAGACGGAGAGGAUUGCUGAGAGCGACAUAUUAAAAAUACGGAAAGUGUAUGAUGCAUUCCGUGCGGAGUUCCCUCUGUGCUUUGGCUAUUGGAAGAAAUAUGCAGAUCAUGAAGGCCGUCUAGAUGGUGUCAAUAAAGUUUUUGAGGUGUAUGAACGGGCAGUUCUUGCAGUUACUUAUUCAGUGGACAUAUGGUGUAAUUAUUGUCAGUUUGCGAUCUCAACAUACAAUGACCCAGAUGUCAUCACA